GUCUGCAACCCGACUACAUGAAGCUGGAAUCGCUAGUAAUCGCGAAUCAGAAUGUCGCGGUGAAUACGUUCCCGGGUCUUGUACACACCGCCCGUCACACCAUGGGAGUCGGAAAUGCCCGAAGUCAGUGACCCAACCGUAAGGAGGGAGCUGCCGAAGGUGGAGCCGGUAACUGGGGUGAAGUCGUAACAAGGUAUC
RNAcentral lists this ribosomal RNA (198 nucleotides) under uncultured bacterium. RNAcentral's name for it is "partial 16S ribosomal RNA". It matches the Rfam family "Bacterial small subunit ribosomal RNA", at positions 1303 to 1500 of the family's 1533-position model. The record is from RNAcentral.